GAUGAACGCUGGCGGCGUGCCUAAUACAUGCAAGUCGAGCGAACAGACGAGGAGCUUGCUCCUCUGACGUUAGCGGCGGACGGGUGAGUAACACGUGGAUAACCUACCUAUAAGACUGGGAUAACUUCGGGAAACCGGAGCUAAUACCGGAUAAUAUAUUGAACCGCAUGGUUCAAUAGUGAAAGACGGUUUUGCUGUCACUUAUAGAUGGAUCCGCGCCGCAUUAGCUAGUUGGUAAGGUAACGGCUUACCAAGGCAACGAUGCGUAGCCGACCUGAGAGGGUGAUCGGCCACCCUGGAACUGAUACACGGUCCAGACUCCUACGGGAGGCAGCAGUAGGGAAUCUUCCGCAAUGGGCGAAAGCCUGACGGAGCAACGCCGCGUGAGUGAUGAAGGUCUUCGGAUCGUAAAACUCUGUUAUUAGGGAAGAACAAAUGUGUAAGUAACUAUGCACGUCUUGACGGUACCUAAUCAGAAAGCCACGGCUAACUACGUG
RNAcentral lists this ribosomal RNA (497 nucleotides) under uncultured bacterium. Its description in RNAcentral is "partial 16S ribosomal RNA". It matches the Rfam family "Bacterial small subunit ribosomal RNA", at positions 28 to 507 of the family's 1533-position model. The record is from RNAcentral.